UACGGAGGGUGCAAGCGUUAUCCGGGUUUACUGGGUUUAAAGGGUGCGUAGGUGGAUUUGUAAGUCAGUGGUGAAAUCUUUGGGCUUAACCCGAAAACUGCCAUUGAUACUAUUUGUCUUGAAUUCUCUAGAGGUAAGCGGAAUAUGUCAUGUAGCGGUGAAAUGCUUAGAUAUGACAUAGAACACCCAUUGCGAAGGCAGCUUACUACGGAGUUAUUGACACUGAGGCACGAAAGCGUGGGGAUCAAACAGG
This 253-nucleotide ribosomal RNA is filed under the name uncultured bacterium. RNAcentral describes it as "partial 16S ribosomal RNA". It matches the Rfam family "Bacterial small subunit ribosomal RNA", at positions 524 to 776 of the family's 1533-position model. The record is from RNAcentral.